CCUUUGGAGCUUGAAUAAGCAAUAGUUUUGUAAACUGAAGAUAUAAAAAAUUAUCUUAGGCUA
RNAcentral lists this transfer RNA (63 nucleotides) under Vema ewingi. RNAcentral's name for it is "tRNA-Thr". Lineage: Eukaryota; Metazoa; Mollusca; Monoplacophora; Tryblidiida; Neopilinidae. The record is from RNAcentral.